This 323-nucleotide unclassified non-coding RNA is filed under the name Hevea brasiliensis (rubber tree). Lineage: Eukaryota; Viridiplantae; Streptophyta; Magnoliopsida; Malpighiales; Euphorbiaceae. The record is from RNAcentral.
GGAAUGGUAAAAUUCUAUAAAGUAAAAACAACCUUCUUAGCAGAAUAGUCUCUACAGUCUCGAAGAAUUGAAAAAAUAAAAAGACAUUUGGUGACGACUUCAACGAUCCUAUUUAAGACGUCGCUAAUAACACAUGUUAGCCACAAUGGAUCCACCACUAAAUCCUCUUAGUGAUGUAAUAAACUGCCACUGGUAUACAGAAAACAUGCUUUCAGCGACUGAGUGAAUGCGUCGCUAAAAUAUUGGCCUAGCGCGAAGGGAUAUUUUGCUCGGUUGUUGCUGGACAAUUUUGAUUUGACCUCAGAUUUGACUGUGCAAUUUGG